GAUAAUCUGCAUGCAAUAUGGGUUUUGCAACGAAGAGAUCAUGGCAGCUUCUGGUUUUUGUUGCAUUCACGUUACUUUUUGCAUGGAGCAUCAAGGGUACGUAUAUAUGAUUUUAUAAUAAGAAAAUUUUAUCACCUGUUAUAUUUAUAAGUAACGUAUACGUAUAUGUAAGUAGGUGAUGAGAUGGAGUUGGUGGAUAAAGAAAAUGAUAUAGCAUCAAGAUCAGUGAAAUACCUAAUGAGAAUUAGAGCAGUGUCGAAAUUAGUAGAAGAAGAGAAAGAGCGCAGACCUUCAAGACCACCACCACCACCUCCAAGGCCACCGCGUCCGUCAAAGCCCUAAUUAACAUCUUUAUGGCUAAUUAUUCAUGGGCAAACACUCCUUAUAUAUAUGUACAUAUAUACAUGUCCGUAUAUCAGUUUCCCUAUCUUCCUCUACAAUAUUUAUAAGCUUGUAAUUGUAUUUCCAUUUUAUGUGUCCAAAUUAUUACCCC
This 493-nucleotide long non-coding RNA is filed under the name Carica papaya (papaya). RNAcentral describes it as "long non-coding RNA (CPAP_LNC001365)". Lineage: Eukaryota; Viridiplantae; Streptophyta; Magnoliopsida; Brassicales; Caricaceae. The record is from RNAcentral.